This is a non-coding RNA of Biomphalaria pfeifferi, 1681 nucleotides long. Lineage: Eukaryota; Metazoa; Mollusca; Gastropoda; Planorbidae. The record is from the annotation of a GenBank genome assembly.
ACAAACAAACACAUGAAAUCCUUCAUUUUGAUAGGUUAAUUUGAACUAACUGCGUGUUGAUUGGUUAAUCUUCUCCACACUAUGUUUUCUAUAAUGUCAAUGCAUACAUGGCGAUAUGUUUUUUUUUUUUUUUUAAAUAAAUGUUGAUGUCAAUUUUUUUUAUUAUGGAGCUCAACUGUUGCCAAUUAUGUGUGGAUUUUAAUUUAGAUGUGUUUGAAAUGUGUGUACGUUCUUUAAUAAUGCUUUGCGAGUCUGUUUAAAAAAAAAAAAGGUAGCUCUGGUUAACUUAGAGACUGUGCCAAACAAAAAAAAUAUAUUUUUCAAAAUGUGCUUAAUGGUCUGUUACCUAGUUGUGCUGACAGUGGAUUUGUUUUACUUUGUCCCAUAAGAAGUCAUUAAUGAAAAUAGAUUGUCUUGACUUGGCAAAAUAACUCUACUUACAUAGACAUUGCUUGGCGGAACCGAGGAAAGUCACCCAGUAGCUAUGAGUAAUGAGUAUCACCUAUGUGUAACAGCAUUAUGUCUUAAGUGGACACCAAACUAUUUUCUCUGACUAGUUAGUUAAUAUUGUGUGCUUUUGGAUAUUAAAAGAGUACAAAGGGCAGCAACCAGUAUAUUUGAAAUUUUCGCAAAAUUCUGUAGUUACGUACGUUUCGAAAAAUUUUCCUUGACAUAAGUCUAUCACAUAGGUCACACACACACCCACAAAAUAAACAAUAGUGGUAUUCAUUAUUGGUGUAAUCACGAACACUGUGAUAUCUACGUGACCUAAUUAGAUAUAGAUGCUUACCAUAAAGUGGGCAUAUAAAAGAUUAUGCAUUAUACGCUAUAUCGGAGUAAUAUAUCAUUAACAAAAAGUAUCCCUAUUCGUCACGUGUACGUAGGGCUGAUAUCAAGCAGACAAUGAUUUUAUCCUUGCAUAUAUAAACGAAUAUUUAAGCAUCAAACCUUUAAAAAUGUUUUAGUUUUGCAUUUUGAAAUUGAAGGAAACAUCUUUAUUUUUAUUUUUGGACGACCAAAUAAAAUACUUCUAUGUGUUAUGAUUUUUUUUUUUUAAAAAAAAAGGUAAAUUUUUACACAUUUGGCAUGUAGGUCAUAAAAAUAGAAAAUUGCUCCGUAUGUUUGUGUGCGUAUUUUUAAUAUGUAUACAUUUGCUUGAUAUAAAUUGUAAAAAGAACUGGUGACAUCUUUUCCUCUGAUGCAAACUUCUGGAAAGAUUGUUCCUUUGUUAGUACGAAAGUUUUAAGUAAACAAAACAAAAUGUUUUUGUAGUCUCCUUACGUGAUACCUAUUUACAUAAAUAAUUUUUUUACAUUUAUUAUCUUUGAAAAUAGUUAUCUAAACGCUAGAUGUUUGAAUGAGUUUAUGUUCGAAAUUUUUCCUAAUUUCACACAUUUUUGAUAAAGAAUUAACCACUAAAAGUGUCUUUUAUCUGUCGAAAUGAAGAAAAUUUUUGAGAAAAAUGAAAAAGAGUCAUAGAUGCAUUCAAGAAAUAUGAUAAUUGAAUGUAAAAUUCAGUUUGCCAAUUAUAUCUGAACACUUUAAUUCUGCAGUGUAUUAAAGAAUGAAAGAUUACUUAGGUUUCAAAUAUGAUUGCAAUAGUUUUGUCAUUUGUAAAAUUUUAAAAUGCUGUUUAAAAAACGCCAUAUUUGUAUGUUCAGACUUUUAAUGUUUUGUUUUG